AGCUUAUUUCGCGCAGCUUAGGUGGGAGACGUUGAACCUUUUCUUCCGGGAAAGGGGGAGUCAUCAGUGAGAUACCACUCUUGGUAAGCUAGAGCGCUCAUUUUUAACCGUUAUCCGGUAAAAAGACAGUUUCAGGCGGGCAGUUUGACUGGGGCAGUCACCUCCCAAAAGGUAAUGGAGGUGUACAAAGGUUCUCUCAGGCUGGACGGAAAUCAGCCAUAGAGUGUAAAAGCAUAAGAGAGCUUGACUGCGAGACGGACAUGUCAAGCAGAGACGAAAGUCGGUUUUAGUGAUCCGACGGUGCUGAGUGGAAAGGCCGUCGCUCAACGGAUAAAAGUUACUCUAGGGAUAACA
This 354-nucleotide ribosomal RNA is filed under the name uncultured eukaryote. Its description in RNAcentral is "LSU rRNA". It matches the Rfam family "Bacterial large subunit ribosomal RNA", at positions 2126 to 2479 of the family's 2925-position model. The record is from RNAcentral.